GAUGAACGCUGGCGGCGUGCUUAAUACAUGCAAGUCGAGCGAAUGGAUUGAGAGCUUGCUCUUAUGAAGUUAGCGGCGGACGGGUGAGUAACACGUAGGUAACCUGCCCAUAAGACUGGGAUAACUCCGGGAAACCGGGGCUAAUACCGGAUAACAUUUUGAACCGCAUGGUUCGAAAUUGAAAGGCGGCUUCGGCUGUCAAUUAUGGAUGGACCCGCGUCGCAUUAGCUAGUUGGUGAGGUAACGGCUCAUCAAGGCAACGAUGCGUAGCCGACCUGAUAGUGUGAUCGGCCACACUGGGACUGAGACACGGCCCAGACUCCUACGGGAGGCAGCAGUAGGGAAUCUUCCGCAAUGGACGAAAGUGUGACGGAGCAACGCCGCGUGAGUGAUGAAGGCUUUCGGGUCGUAAAACUCUGUUGUUAGGGAAGAACGAGUGCUAGUUGAAUAAGCUGGCACCUUGACGGUACCUUACCAGAAAGCCACGGCUAACUACGUGCCAGCCGCCGCCGUAA
Molecule: ribosomal RNA, 515 nt
Filed under: uncultured bacterium
Lineage: Bacteria
Description: partial 16S ribosomal RNA
Rfam family: Bacterial small subunit ribosomal RNA
Source: RNAcentral